RNAcentral lists this ribosomal RNA (430 nucleotides) under uncultured bacterium. RNAcentral's name for it is "partial 16S ribosomal RNA". It matches the Rfam family "Bacterial small subunit ribosomal RNA", at positions 338 to 795 of the family's 1533-position model. The record is from RNAcentral.
CCUACGGGUGGCAGCAGUGGGGAAUAUUGGACAAUGGGGGCAACCCUGAUCCAGCAAUGCCGCGUGUGUGAAGAAGGCCUUCGGGUUGUAAAGCACUUUAGUUGGGGAGGCUGUACCCAAAGAAUAAGCACCGGCUAACUCUGUGCCAGCAGCCGCGGUAAUACAGAGGGUGCGAGCGUUAAUGGAAUUACUGGGCGUAAAGGGCGCGUAGGCGGUUUAUUAAGUUAGAUGUGAAAUCCCUGGGCUUAACCUAGGAACUGCAUCUAAGACUGAUAAGCUGGAGUGCGGUAGAGGAUAGUGGAAUUUCCGGUGUAGCGGUGAAAUGCGUAGAUAUCGGAAGGAACACCAGUGGCGAAGGCGGCUAUCUGGCUACACUGACGCUGAGGCGCGAGAGCGUGGGGAGCAAACAGGAUUAGAUACCCUUGUAGUC